UACCCGCAGCCCAAGUGGUGGUCGAUUUUAUUGAGUCUAAAACGUUCGUAGCCGGUUUGAUAAAUCCUUGGGUAAAUCGGAGAGCUUAACUUUCCGACUUCCGAGGAGACUGUCGAACUUGGGACCGGGAGAGGCAAGAGGUACUUGAGGGGUAGGGGUAAAAUCCUGUAAUCCUUUAAGGACCACCGGUGGCGAAGGCGUCUUGCUAGAACGGAUCCGACGGUGAGGGACGAAGCCCUGGGUCGCAAACGGGAUUAGAUACCCCGGUAGUCCAGGGUGUAAACGCUGCAGACUUGGUGUUGGGGACCCUUUGGGGGUGCUCAGUGCCGGAGAGAAGUUGUUAAGUCUGCUACUUGGGGAGUACGUCCGCAAGGAUGAAACUUAAAGGAAUUGGCGGGGGAGCACCGCAACGGGAGGAACGUGCGGUUUAAUUGGAUUCAACACCGGAAAACUCACCAGCAGCGACUGUUACAUGAAAGUCAGGCCGAUGACCUUACUAGAUUUUCA
This 507-nucleotide ribosomal RNA is filed under the name uncultured archaeon. Its description in RNAcentral is "bacterial SSU rRNA". It matches the Rfam family "Archaeal small subunit ribosomal RNA", at positions 474 to 981 of the family's 1478-position model. The record is from RNAcentral.